UGGGGAAUAUUGCACAAUGGGCGCAAGCCUGAUGCAGCCAUGCCGCGUGUAUGAAGAAGGCCUUCGGGUUGUAAAGUACUUUCAGCGGGGAGGAAGGGAGUAAAGUUAAUACCUUUGCUCAUUGACGUUACCCGCAGAAGAAGCACCGGCUAACUCCGUGCCAGCAGCCGCGGUAAUACGGAGGGUGCAAGCGUCAAUCGGAAUUACUGGGCGUAAAGCGCACGCAGGCGGUUUGUUAAGUCAGAUGUGAAAUCCCCGGGCUCAACCUGGGAACUGCAUCGGAUACUGGCAAGCUUGAGUCUCGUAGAGGGGGGUAGAAUUCCAGGUGUAGCGGUGAAAUGCGUAGAGAUCUGGAGGAAUACCGGUGGCGAAGGCGGCCCCCUGGACGAAGACUGACGCUCAGGUGCGAAAGCGUGGGGAGCAAACAGG
Molecule: ribosomal RNA, 429 nt
Filed under: Chloroflexota bacterium
Lineage: Bacteria; Bacillati; Chloroflexota
Description: Chloroflexi bacterium partial 16S ribosomal RNA
Rfam family: Bacterial small subunit ribosomal RNA
Source: RNAcentral